This is a long non-coding RNA of Oncorhynchus keta (chum salmon), 1400 nucleotides long. RefSeq lists it as uncharacterized. The record is from RefSeq and is a predicted model, not a curated record. NCBI's taxonomy places the organism in Eukaryota, Metazoa, Chordata, Actinopteri, Salmoniformes, Salmonidae. The transcript is spliced from 3 exons.
UGCGAGGGAACACCGGUGGCACAUUCUUUGAACGGCGUAAAGGGAUAUUCCUGUCUCACUAAAAGAGGACGAGGACCCACCCGGACCAGACCUCCACUGUGGGACGCGUCCGGGAGGAAACAACAUCCACGAAACCUAGGACAACUCAACGGAUUUCAAUAAAGUACAUUUAAAUUAAGUAAUACAUUCGUUUAAGAAGGGAUCCAAGUUCUAAGAGAGAACUAGGAAAAGAUUGGGUGUGUUGUAUGUUCGGGAUUUCUCCCUAAGGGUUAGUCCUCUAACUCCCUGACCCUGUAAUUCUGCGGUGACGUUCCCAAUAUAUUAGGGGAGUAUAAGCCAAUUUGCAAAAUGGCUUCAAUAGUGUGUUGUUAUUCUCUUGGACAUUUGUCUUAGAAAUGUGUAUUAAGAAUAUUGGGAAUGUAAUAAUUUGUCAUACAUUGAAUAGUUGUCUGGAUUUCCUGAAUCAGUAAUGCCCUAAACUGUUGUUCUGGUCUGCCCUCCGGUGAUCAUAGAUGGUAUCUCGAUGCAUGGAAGGGACAAUUUGACCGAGAACAGUGAGCCUCACCCCCUCUAACCAGCUGAAGUAAUGGCGACAAUGCUGUUCACUAUGGCCCUGUCCUUCUACCUGAGACCCGAGUCCGAGCCAGCAACAUGUGUACAGAUUCCAGUCAACGCUAUCAACUGCCUUUUCUCUCAGGAGUGCAGCAUGAGUCCGGAGACCGUCCACGUAGAGUGAGCAUGGAGAGAGAUCAGGUCCAAACUUCUCUCAUGCUGCUGGUGCACUAGUCGGAAAAUGGACAAGACAGAAUGGACCAUAAAGGGAGGUGGUGGCGGCGGCUCAGUAUUUUGCUGUCUUAGGAACCCGAAGGAAGAAGAGAAAGUCAAAAGCUCCAGCUGAAAUGUCAUUAUCAGAAACCGCUAGAAGCUACUCUGGCAAUGUAGAUAGCGAGUGGGAGGUGACAGCUUGGCUGUCAACUUUGUUUGGAUCAUAGUCUGUGAACCUUGCAAAAUGGGCUAUGUUGGGACUAUUUGUCCUUGCGUGUGUGUGAUAACAUUGGGGAACUUACAUAAAUUAAAAUGUGUAAUGAAGCAUGUAUCUAACUGUAUGAAGCAAAGGUCUUAAGGUAAACCUUUCUACUGCAAUGGUUUUACAAGUGUAAGCAAUAAAGAUUGCUUCAUUUACUUUGACUUGGAGUCCUUAGUGGUGAAUUUCCAUGAUAGUUCACUCCCCCUCAGAUCGAAAAGUAAUGGACGCAAGUUAGUGAGUUAAAUAUGAAUAAAACUCCCUAUAGUCCACGCUUACAUCUAUCCAAUAUUUUUAAACCCAAGGGGUGAGUGAACUAGUGUAGUGCACACUGAAGGGGAAAGGGUAGGGAUGAAAGAAAACACACGGAGUGAUG